Molecule: long non-coding RNA, 1387 nt
Filed under: Cyanistes caeruleus (blue tit)
Lineage: Eukaryota; Metazoa; Chordata; Aves; Passeriformes; Paridae
Description: lncRNA (ENSCCEG00000008626.1)
Source: RNAcentral
AUGGUAAUAGAACACAUACUUUUGGUUAUAUCUUGCAUUGCAACCCAAGACAUUUUGGAAAUCAGCAUUUUGUCACCUCUUCUGGUGUCUCAGUCAGGAAUACCCAGUGCCAGAUCAUGUACCUGGCCAAGAGCUGAAGGAUUUUGGGAACUUUCAAGGAGAGAGGUUUACAUCACUGGGGUUGUCAUCUAUAGGCUGGGGGCUUUUCCAGGCACAGUACUCAGCUCCUCUUCUAGAGCUGGAAGCUGGUCUGCUUCUCCCUGGCUUUCUCUGAGUGGCUGUUCCAUGCUGCCUGGCUUCUGUGAGUGCUUGCUGGUUGUCUGCCUCAUCUGUGCUUUAGCCUUACUGCUGGAAUGGAGCUCUUUAAGGGCUGUGUCAGCCCACUAACACCUUUGGUGUGGAUGCAGCAUCCUCGUUCUUCGCUUGGAACUGGUAGAAGCCAUCACAUUAGUACCACUGUAAGUUCUGGUUCAGGAUAUUUCUGUAAGAUAGCGAAUCCUACGGGUUUGAACUCAUUCCCAAGCAGGCAUGAGACAGAUUAUGUGCUGCCUGCUUAAAUGCUGCAUGCCUGUUGUCUCAGGCAAUUUUGCACCUUCCCUGAAUUCCCAACUACUGGAAUUAAGAGGUUCUUAGCCUCAUUUUUUUCCUCCCUAUAAGGGGAACAAAAAAACUUUGGAUCUUUUCACCAGUACUGGAGGAGUAGCAUCCUGUGAGGUCCUGUAUAGAUAUCAGCUGGUGUUGGGGAGCUGUUGCCAGCAACUGAAAAAGGAGAAGAAAAAACACAUUUAAGAGCAUUAUUUUUUAAAAAAAGCAUCACCCUGCAACUCUUGAUUAGCACUCUGUAUUUUGAGGCCCAGAUUUGAUCAUACUGCAACCAUCUCAUCCUGAAAAUAUUGGCUGAGCAAAAUCCCAGCCAAAAGAAAAUACAUUGCAUUGCUUUGCACAAUUCCCUGCCCAGGUUGGGAGUGAGCCCUGAAUGCACAAGUGGAUGGGGCAUGCUUGCUUUGCAGAGGACAUGUGGUGCAGGAGGCUGGAGACUCUCACAGCCUCUGCAAGUUUAGGAAAAUUGGCUUUUCCUAGAUGUCUUUCAGAGAGGUGCUGAGAAGUGUUAGUGCUGGAUCAGGUAUCGCUGUCCCUGCCCGUGGUGCAGCACGGGUGUUCGUGCGGUGUUGUGUGUGCUCAUUUAUGUGGUGGGAACAGCAGUCCUGGGCUCCUGGCUGAGCCUGGGGGAUGUGGAGCAAUCACAAAAGCCCAGACUGUGCUUGAACCCUUGACAUCUUCCUGAUUGGAUAAAGCAUUAGUCCCUGUUUGCUAAUAUUGGUGUUUGGUAUUACUAUGAUUAUCCUCAUCAGUGUAACUAUCAUUAUUAUUUUAUAAGCUGUGUUGU